GGGGCCGUGGCAGAAAGGCGCAUGCACUUCCCUGUCGAGGAAGACGAUGACGGUUCGAGUCCGUUCGGUCCCGCCA
This 76-nucleotide transfer RNA is filed under the name Blastocatellia bacterium. RNAcentral's name for it is "tRNA-Asp". It matches the Rfam family "tRNA". From Rfam's summary of the family: Transfer RNA (tRNA) molecules are approximately 80 nucleotides in length. Their secondary structure includes four short double-helical elements and three loops (D, anti-codon, and T loops). The record is from RNAcentral. Lineage: Bacteria; Pseudomonadati; Acidobacteriota; Blastocatellia.